RNAcentral lists this ribosomal RNA (644 nucleotides) under Escherichia coli. RNAcentral's name for it is "partial 23S ribosomal RNA". It matches the Rfam family "Bacterial large subunit ribosomal RNA", at positions 2155 to 2798 of the family's 2925-position model. Lineage: Bacteria; Pseudomonadati; Pseudomonadota; Gammaproteobacteria; Enterobacterales; Enterobacteriaceae. The record is from RNAcentral.
CUUUGAAGUGUGGACGCCAGUCUGCAUGGAGCCGACCUUGAAAUACCACCCUUUAAUGUUUGAUGUUCUAACGUGGACCCGUGAUCCGGGUUGCGGACAGUGUCUGGUGGGUAGUUUGACUGGGGCGGUCUCCUCCUAAAGAGUAACGGAGGAGCACGAAGGUUGGCUAAUCCUGGUCGGACAUCAGGAGGUUAGUGCAAUGGCAUAAGCCAGCUUGACUGCGAGCGUGACGGCGCGAGCAGGUGCGAAAGCAGGUCAUAGUGAUCCGGUGGUUCUGAAUGGAAGGGCCAUCGCUCAACGGAUAAAAGGUACUCCGGGGAUAACAGGCUGAUACCGCCCAAGAGUUCAUAUCGACGGCGGUGUUUGGCACCUCGAUGUCGGCUCAUCACAUCCUGGGGCUGAAGUAGGUCCCAAGGGUAUGGCUGUUCGCCAUUUAAAGUGGUACGCGAGCUGGGUUUAGAACGUCGUGAGACAGUUCGGUCCCUAUCUGCCGUGGGCGCUGGAGAACUGAGGGGGGCUGCUCCUAGUACGAGAGGACCGGAGUGGACGCAUCACUGGUGUUCGGGUUGUCAUGCCAAUGGCACUGCCCGGUAGCUAAAUGCGGAAGAGAUAAGUGCUGAAAGCAUCUAAGCACGAAACUUGCC